This 468-nucleotide ribosomal RNA is filed under the name uncultured bacterium. Its description in RNAcentral is "bacterial SSU rRNA". It matches the Rfam family "Bacterial small subunit ribosomal RNA", at positions 328 to 793 of the family's 1533-position model. The record is from RNAcentral.
UCACCAGACUCCUACGGGAGGCAGCAGUGAGGAAUAUUGGUCAAUGGGCGCGAGCCUGAACCAGCCAAGUCGCGUGAGGGAUGACGGCCCUACGGGUUGUAAACCUCUUUUGCCGGGGAGCAACGGGCGCCACGUGUGGCGCCACUGAGAGUACCCGGAGAAAAAGCAUCGGCUAACUCCGUGCCAGCAGCCGCGGUAAUACGGAGGAUGCGAGCGUUAUCCGGAUUUAUUGGGUUUAAAGGGUGCGCAGGCGGAAUGUCAAGUCAGCGGUAAGAUUUCGGGGCUCAACCCCGUCGUGCCGUUGAAACUGGCGUUCUUGAGUGAGCGAGAAGUAUGCGGAAUGCGUGGUGUAGCGGUGAAAUGCAUAGAUAUCACGCAGAACUCCGAUUGCGAAGGCAGCAUACCGGCGCUCAACUGACGCUCAUGCACGAAAGCGUGGGUAUCGAACAGGAUUAGAUACCCCGGUAC